RNAcentral lists this transfer RNA (74 nucleotides) under Candidatus Organicella extenuata. RNAcentral describes it as "tRNA-Arg". It matches the Rfam family "tRNA". Rfam says of the family: Transfer RNA (tRNA) molecules are approximately 80 nucleotides in length. Their secondary structure includes four short double-helical elements and three loops (D, anti-codon, and T loops). Further hydrogen bonds mediate the characteristic L-shaped molecular structure. tRNAs have two regions of fundamental functional importance: the anti-codon, which is responsible for specific mRNA codon recognition, and the 3' end, to which the tRNAs corresponding amino acid is attached (by aminoacyl-tRNA synthetases). tRNAs cope with the degeneracy of the genetic code in two manners: having more than one tRNA (with a specific anti-codon) for a particular amino acid; and 'wobble' base-pairing, i.e. permitting non-standard base-pairing at the 3rd anti-codon position. The record is from RNAcentral. Lineage: Bacteria; Pseudomonadati; Verrucomicrobiota.
GCACCUGUAGCUUAACUGGAUAUGGCGUUUGACUACGGAUCAAGAGUUUGGGGGUUCGAAUCCCUCCAGGUGUA